ACCGUAUCAGAGAAGUUGUGCAGACUGCACCAAAAGCAGAGAGCAGGAGAACAGUACCUCUUCAUGUUGCAGUAGAACAAAAACUACAACAAAAACCUGAAAAUGUUUUGCUUCAGGAGCACUGCUCAGUGUUGCCUUCGCACAGACUCGUCAGUACAACUUUGUGAACACGCAGCUGAACUGGACUAGUGCUCAGAGUGUCUGCAGACACGACUUCACUGAUCUGGCAACCAUAGAAAACACAGAUGACGUCAAUGCUGUUGUUAGCACCACAUCAACCUUUACAGGCAAGGCUUGGAUAGGUCUCCAUGAUGACUUGGUAAACAGCUGGAGAUGGUCCCUAAAUGACAGCAGCUUCUACGGUGAAGAAGAGACGACAUUCAGAAACUGGGAUUCUGGCCAGCCCGACAAUUUUGGUGGAACACAGUACUGUGUGAGUCUUGGAGCUAAUGGCAAAUGGGAUGACGUGAACUGCAGUCAGCAGUAUAAUUUUGUGUGCUACAAUGGCACAGUGAACGGCACACCAUCUUUCGUUUUCAAUCAAACUUUGCUCUUAAAUUGGACUGAAGCUCAGCAAUUCUGCAAGCAGAAUUAUGUUGAUCUGGUCAGCAUAAGAAACCAAACUGAAAAUAACAUCAUCAAAGACAUAGCAGGUGGAUCUACUGUGUGGA
This is a long non-coding RNA of Melanotaenia boesemani (Boeseman's rainbowfish), 671 nucleotides long. RefSeq lists it as uncharacterized. The record is from RefSeq and is a predicted model, not a curated record. The transcript has 4 exons. NCBI's taxonomy places the organism in Eukaryota, Metazoa, Chordata, Actinopteri, Atheriniformes, Melanotaeniidae.